Molecule: long non-coding RNA, 1232 nt
Filed under: Homo sapiens (human)
Lineage: Eukaryota; Metazoa; Chordata; Mammalia; Primates; Hominidae
Description: HSALNT0317422
Source: RNAcentral
GCUCACUCUUGCCUAAGUAUAGGAAGUGGACAGCUUGCUUUGAGAAGUGGGGCAACAUAUCCACCUAAAUGUUGCUGGAAUAAGUAAAGCAUUCCCUGCAGAGGAAAGGGACACCUUUAUUCUCUUCGUGUCUGCAGGUGGCUUUGGUGCCAAGCUGUCCCCUGCCUGCUUCUGUUUUCACCCCCAGCCCCAGUGCUGCAGGCUGAUGGGGCUCCUUCUCCACUGACUCGCGUUUCCUCAUAUUCAUGGAGCUCUGCCGGCAGCUAGGCUGAGGGAGGAGCUGGGCAUACAGCUCUGGCCAUACAGAAGGUGCUGGUAAGAAACGGAGGCAGAGAGCAGUGCAACAGGAUGCAGAGGGACCGGCACUAUCAGGAGUGAGAGAGAAACCUUUUGAGACAAUUGCUGUUCUGGAGUAUCUCAGAAUCGAGGUCCCUUUCAACUCUCUCAUCUGUUCUGGUUUUAUGGACUGUAAGACAGAAACGUCCUCCAUGUGAGGAGUGCCUUGGAGGAGAGAGAUGGACCAUGUAAAGAUGGAGGGAGUGGCCAGGCAUGGAGGCUCAUACCUGUAAUCCCUGCACUUUGAGAGGCCAAGGUGGGUGGAUCACGAGGUGGAGAUCGAGACCAUCCUGGCCAACACGGUGAAACCCCGUCUCUACAAAAAAUACAAAAAUUAGCUGGGCAUGGUGGUGCGUGCCUGUAGUCCCAGCUACUCGGGAGGCUGAGGCAGGAGAAUCGCUCCGACCCGGGAGGCAGAAGUUGCAGCGAUCCAAUAUUGUGCCACUGCACUCCAGCCUGGUGACAGAGCAAGAUUCCAUCUCAAAAACAAACAAACAAACAAAAAAAGAUGGAGGGAGCUUUUGGAACGGAUCUUCAAGGAUGGCCAAGAGCCUUCUACAUGGAGGAAGGGUCCACUGAAUAUAACUUGCCACAUUCCAGGAGGAGUGGUGGGCAUUUCGUGUUAAUUUCCAAGUCACUGGCCUUGAAAUAAAGUGGAACAGGAUGGAACGGCCAUUGUGAGCCUGCUCAAUUCCACGUGCUAGAUAUACAUCAUGUUAUUUAAACAUGAAAGGAGGGGACAUUGUGCCCAUUCAAUAGAUGAGGGACACAAGGCUUCAAGAAAUUAAAUGGCUUGCUCAGAGCCACAUCCCUAGCAUGUGGGAGAGCUGAGGGGUGGUCCAGAGCUUUCUGAUUCCAAAGCCUCCAUUCUUUCCACCCCACUGUGCCUUUCCCAG